Molecule: ribosomal RNA, 993 nt
Filed under: Isaria sp.
Lineage: Eukaryota; Fungi; Ascomycota; Sordariomycetes; Hypocreales; Cordycipitaceae
Description: SSU rRNA
Rfam family: Eukaryotic small subunit ribosomal RNA
Source: RNAcentral
GCGAAUGGCUCAUUAUAUAAGUUAUCGUUUAUUUGAUAGUACCUUACUACUUGGAUAACCGUGGUAAUUCUAGAGCUAAUACAUGCUAAAAAUCCCGACUUCGGAAGGGAUGUAUUUAUUAGAUUAAAAACCAAUGCCCUCUGGGCUCCUUGGUGAUUCAUAAUAACUUUUCGAAUCGCAUGGCCUUGCGCCGGCGAUGGUUCAUUCAAAUUUCUUCCCUAUCAACUUUCGAUGUUUGGGUAUUGGCCAAACAUGGUCGCAACGGGUAACGGAGGGUUAGGGCUCGACCCCGGAGAAGGAGCCUGAGAAACGGCUACUACAUCCAAGGAAGGCAGCAGGCGCGCAAAUUACCCAAUCCCGAUUCGGGGAGGUAGUGACAAUAAAUACUGAUACAGGGCUCUUUUGGGUCUUGUAAUUGGAAUGAGUACAAUUUAAAUCCCUUAACGAGGAACAAUUGGAGGGCAAGUCUGGUGCCAGCAGCCGCGGUAAUUCCAGCUCCAAUAGCGUAUAUUAAAGUUGUUGUGGUUAAAAAGCUCGUAGUUGAACCUUGGGCCUGGCUGGCCGGUCCGCCUCACCGCGUGUACUGGUCCGGCCGGGCCUUUCCCUCUGUGGAACCUCAUGCCCUUCACUGGGUGUGGCGGGGAAACAGGACUUUUACUUUGAAAAAAUUAGAGUGCUCCAGGCAGGCCUAUGCUCGAAUACAUUAGCAUGGAAUAAUGAAAUAGGACGUGUGGUUCUAUUUUGUUGGUUUCUAGGACCGCCGUAAUGAUUAAUAGGGACAGUCGGGGGCAUCAGUAUUCAAUUGUCAGAGGUGAAAUUCUUGGAUUUAUUGAAGACUAACUACUGCGAAAGCAUUUGCCAAGGAUGUUUUCAUUAAUCAGGAACGAAAGUUAGGGGAUCGAAGACGAUCAGAUACCGUCGUAGUCUUAACCAUAAACUAUGCCGACUAGGGAUCGGACGAUGUUAUUUUUUGACGCGUUCGGCACCUUACGA